Molecule: ribosomal RNA, 589 nt
Filed under: Uncultured marine dinoflagellate DH144-EKD15
Lineage: Eukaryota
Description: bacterial SSU rRNA
Rfam family: Eukaryotic small subunit ribosomal RNA
Source: RNAcentral
CGCCCAAACCCGACUCCGUGGAAGGGUUGUGUUUAUCAGAUACAGAACCAACCCAGGCUUUGCCUGGUACUGUGGUGAUUCAUAAUAANCGAACGAAUCGCAUGGCUUCAGCCGGCGAUGAAUCAUUCAAGUUUCUGACCUAUCAGCUUCCGACGGUAGGGUAUUGGCCUACCGUGGCAAUGACGGGUAACGGAGAAUUAGGGUUCGAUUCCGGAGAGGGAGCCUGAGAAACGGCUACCACAUCUAAGGAAGGCAGCAGGCGCGCAAAUUAGCAAGUCCUGACACAGGGAGGUAGUGACAAGAAAUAACAGUACAGGGCAUCCAUGUCUUGUAAUUGGAAUGAGUAGAAUUUAAAUCCCUUUUCGAGUAUCAAUUGGAGGGCAAGUCUGGUGCCAGCAGCCGGCGGUAAUUCCAGCUCCACAUAGCGUAGAUUAUCCGUUGUUGUGGUUAAUAAGCUCGUAUUUGGGAUUUCUGCCGAGGACGACCGGUCCCGCCCCUCUGGGAUGAGUANCCGGCCUGGACUGGGUAUCCUUCCUUGGGUAAGGUAGCUGCACUUGACUGUGUAGUACGGAAUCAAGGGCUUCACUUU